CGAACGGCGGUGGCGGAGUCGACGGGGGAGCCGUGGACUUCGAUCCCGCGGCGUCUGGACAGGUGUGAAGAACUACACAAGGUGUGAAGCUGUGGAGAAUCAGACCCCUAGCAUCCAAUUAGCAAGAUCAACAUUCAUUUCUUCUCUACCACCAUCUGGUGUCUGCUGGGAGAACAACAUGGAAACACGCAGAAGUUAGCCAACUGCUCUAAAAUUUACAUCAAGGAAAUUUGUGAGAUUCUGGUGUUUUAACAUCUUUGCAUAAACAAAAUAAUCUUUGACUCAAAGGACUGUACAAAGUCUCAAGACAACCAUCUUGUGACACAAAGCAUUGAUAUAACAUAAAAAAAUUUUUAGCCACGGUCAGUUGGUUAUUUUAGCAUUUUGUACUUUAAUUUGAAUAUUUCACAGUUCAGCAGGGUCACAUCAUACAACCUACAUACAACGUGAGGUCUCAAUUACUCUGUCAGAUAAUGGAAUGGAAAUUAUAUGAUAAGGAGGGAGAAUUUAUAGCAAGAAUACAAUACAGAACAAAGCUUUCUCUAACUUCUAUAAUAAAGCUUCUCUAAAAAGCUUUAGAACGUAGCUUCAAUUUUCACAAUGGAAUAAUCCAGUGUAUUAAACUGCCAAUUGCCUCUGACUGCAAGAGAGAAAAAAAAUAUUUAUAGCUCAUCAUAAUAUCCCCCUAGAGCAGCCUUUCUUUAAUCAACUGAUUCUGCACUUUUUCCCCCACAAAGAAAACCAAGUCCUCCUAGGCUAAGCCUAAAUGGCUACCUGAUUGCACAAUCCCCUAGGUAUUGUUACUCUGAUUGGAUACUAAUGAUCCAACUGAGGUUUCCAUGACAACUUUCUUUGCUCAGGAUAGACCCCAAGUAGAGCAGGCCAUUUAAAGUGAUAGGAUACAUUACAGUCCAACUUCAAAACUAGGUUUGUGUAUCUUUCAGUACACUUUCUACAUUCUCUAAUUACUCUGACUGUUGAUUCCACUGAAGAGGGACCCAAACUUCUUUGCCACAUGUUAUAGCCCUGGCCAAGGUGACAGCAUGUGGCUAUCAGCACCACAACAUCCUUUUGCACCUGAGUCCUAGAGCUGCCUUUGGCUAGCCAGUCAUUGAGGUAGGGAUAGAUCUGGACACCCCGAUGUUUGAGGUAAGCAGCCACCACCAACAUGUACUUGAUAAAUACCUGCGGUGAUGUUGCUACGCCAAAUGGGAGGACUGCAAACUGAUAGUGGUUGGGACCUACCGUAAACUGGAGGAAGCGUCUGUGUUCCUCAAAGAUGGCAAUGUGAAGGGCUUGCCCGUCGAAGGGGAGGUCUUGCAUCGACUGCUGAGCCUCUGUGAACAAACCGGAGAGGAGCAGCCAGGAUGCCCAGCGCAUAGCGAUGUCCGAGGCCAUGGUUUGGGCAGCAGUGUCUGCUGCAUCCAACACUGCCUGGAGGGUCGCCCUGCCCGCAGUCGUGCCCUCCUCUAUGAUAGCCUGUAACUCGUUCCUAGAAACCUCAGGAAAGGAGACCUCAAACUUGGCCAUGGCUUUUCACGUGUUAAAGUCAUAGCGUCCCAGGAGCACCUGAUGGUUGGCCACCCUCAACUGGAGACUAGAGGACGAAUAAACUUUAUG
Long non-coding RNA from Mauremys mutica (yellowpond turtle), 1620 nucleotides. RefSeq lists it as uncharacterized. NCBI's taxonomy places the organism in Eukaryota, Metazoa, Chordata, Testudines, Geoemydidae. The transcript has 4 exons. The record is from RefSeq and is a predicted model, not a curated record.